Molecule: ribosomal RNA, 498 nt
Filed under: uncultured bacterium
Lineage: Bacteria
Description: partial 16S ribosomal RNA
Rfam family: Bacterial small subunit ribosomal RNA
Source: RNAcentral
GAUGAACGCUAGCGGCAGGCCUAAUACAUGCAAGUAGGACGGGAUUGAGAAGCUUGCUUUUCAUGAGAGUGGCGUACGGGUGCGUAACAGGUAUGUAACCUACCUUAAUCAGGGGGAUAGCCUCUCGAAAGAGAGAUUAACACCGCAUAAAAUCAAUUUAUGGCAUCAUAGAAUGAUCAAAUAUUUAUAGGAUUAAGAUGGGCAUGCGGAACAUUAGCUAGGUGGUAAGGUAACGGCUUACCAAGGCUACGCUGUUUAGGGGCUCGGAGAGGAUGACCACCCACACUGAUACUGGUACACGGACCAGACGCCUUCGGGAGGCAGCAGUAAGGAAUAUUGGUCAAUGGGCGCAAGACUGAACCAGCCAUGCCGCGUGCAGGAAGACGGCCCUACAGGUUGUAAACUGCUUUUGUACCGGAAUAAACCUUGGUAUGUAUACGAAGCUGAAUGUACGGUAAGAAUAAGGAUCGGCUAACUCCGUGCCAGCAGCCGCCGUAA